Long non-coding RNA from Papaver somniferum (opium poppy), 1910 nucleotides. RefSeq lists it as uncharacterized. The transcript has 12 exons. Lineage: Eukaryota; Viridiplantae; Streptophyta; Magnoliopsida; Ranunculales; Papaveraceae. The record is from RefSeq and is a predicted model, not a curated record.
CCCAUCGGAAUGUACGAACAGAAACAAGUAAGAAGUAAGAAAUAAGAAAUACAGAAGGAGGUUUCGUUCCCAUAUUUUCCCCAUUUCAAUCUUCUCAGUUUACUUGGCUAGUUGUCUAAUUUGUAUACAACUUGAGUUAACGUUUCAGCUUGUUGUGGUAUUGUUGUUGUUGGACAAUGGUCAGGACUGCUAUGAAAGACGCAUCAAAGGAAGUUCAAACCCAUGCGAGGCCAAAAGCUCGUAAGGAGAACAUAUUUGUCACGGUACGAAUGAGACCUUUGACCAGAAAAGAACAAGGAGAAAAUGAAGAGAUUGCAUGGCACUGUUCUGAUGAGCAUACCAUUUUGCAGAAGCAAUUGAAAAAUAAACGGUCUAUGGAGCCUUACACCUUUGAUCGAGCAUUUGAUAUGCAUUGUUCAAAUCAGAGGGUUUAUGAGGAGGGAGCCAAGGAUGUUGCGUUAUCUCCUCUUGCUGGAGUUAAUGCAACAAUAUUUGCAUAUGGACAAACAUGUAGUGGCAAGACAUACACAGUGAAGGGAAUUACUGAAAGGCUGUCAAUGAUACAGAAGAUCACAUUAGAAAAUCCCCGGAAAGAUAUUUUGUACUAAAGAUUUCUGGCUUGGAGAUUUAUAACGAGAAGGUCAGUGAUUUGUUCAAUCCAGGUUCUACCAACCUUAUACUUCAGGACCAUCCGGAGAAAGGGACAAGUGUUCGAGAUCUAGUUGAAAGAGUAGCGAAGGAUUGCAAUGAGUUGAGGAGUUUAAUAGGUCAAUGCGAAGCUCAUAGGAAAGUCGGAGAAACUGUGCUAAAUUGCCAGAGCUCAAGGUCGCAUCAGAUUGUAAAGCUGACCAUAGAGAGUCGAAGCCAUGAGAAUUCCACCCAUGCAGAGUCAUUCGUAGCAAGUCUGAAUCUUGUGGACCUCGCAGGAAGUGAGUUUGCAGAACAAGCAGAAACACGCGGUGUAAGACAGAUAGAAAGGGGUCAACAGAAGCCUUUUGGCUUUAAAGUCAGCGAUAAGAGCACUCAGUGUUGGAGAUCGUGUAAAAUACCGAGAUUCAAAUCUUACACGAUUGUUGAAACCUUCUCUCGGGGGGAAUUCACGAUCUGCUAUUAUAUGUACCAUAAGUCCUGCCUCGAGUCAUUUGGAACAAUCACGAAGCACACUCUCAUUCGCGAGUAAUGCAAAGAAAGUGAAAAACACUGCUGAAGUGAAUGUGAAACGCAUGUGUUCUUUUCAUCCCGUUGCCUUUCAUUUCUGUCAGGUUGUUUCAGAGAAGCAACAGUUGAAGCAGUUGCAGGAUAAAGUUGCUUCGCUUGAAGCGGAUAACAGCAAGUUGACAACAGAGCUUGAAUUAGAAAGAGCGAAGAAGAAAAAGAGAACUAGAAGGGCGUCUUUUGAACCUAUUAUUAGAAGUCCUGCAGUCUUCCCUGAAAAUGAAUCAGAUUCUGAGGAGGAUAUCUGGUUGGAAAGAAAGAGAAGCGUACUGGCAAGGAAUAGACAGUUCAAGAAGAAGAAGAGGAAGUGCAAAUGCAAUUGCUCUGCUAGUUCUAGAUGUAUGAACAAGAGGUGCUCAUGUUUUAUUGGAAAUGAUUCCUGUAGCACUGAAUGUGUUAUAGAUUGUGCAAACUAUUCUGAUGGUGAUUAGAAUACUUUUAUGUGGCAUAUAGAGAGUAUGUGGCUGGUAUUUUUUCUUUGUGGAUGCGUUAAAGGGUAAGACCAUAGACAGUUCUCAGAUUGCGUGUGGAAACUUGUAAACGGGUAUAUGACUAUCUCAACAUUUCUAUAUUUCUUUAUGGGUUGAGAUUAGAACAUAUUCACAGUUUUAGUUUUGCAAUUUUAACCAAAUUAGUGCUCAAUUUGACUAAUAAGUUUAUCCACCUAAGAAGUUGGCAAGGUGUGUUUCAUUUUA